This 481-nucleotide ribosomal RNA is filed under the name uncultured bacterium. RNAcentral describes it as "bacterial SSU rRNA". It matches the Rfam family "Bacterial small subunit ribosomal RNA", at positions 29 to 534 of the family's 1533-position model. The record is from RNAcentral.
AACGAACGCUGGCGGCGUGCCUAACACAUGCAAGUCGAGCGGUACAGUUUGAAGCUUCGGUGGAGAGCUGUAUAGCGGCGGACGGGUGAGUAAAGCGUAGGAACGUGCCCCUCGGAGUUGGAUAGCCAUGGGAAACUGUGGGUAAACCGACAUAGACUCGGGAGAGUAAAGGCCGAAAGGCGCCAAGGGAGCGGCCUGCGGCCCAUCAGGUAGUUGGUAGUGUAAAGGACUACCAAGCCGACGACGGGUAGCCGGUCUGAGAGGAUGUACGGCCACACUGGGACUGAGAUACGGCCCAGACUCCUACGGGAGGCAGCAGUUGGGAAUCUUAGGCAAUGGACGAAAGUCUGACCUAGCGACGCCGCGUGAGGGAAGAAGGCCUUGGGUUGUAAACCUCUGUCAUGGGGGAAGAAGUAAGUGACGGUACCCAAGAGGAAGCCCUGCUAACUACGUGCCAGCAGCCGCGGUAAAGAGUAGUACG